This 497-nucleotide ribosomal RNA is filed under the name uncultured bacterium. RNAcentral's name for it is "partial 16S ribosomal RNA". It matches the Rfam family "Bacterial small subunit ribosomal RNA", at positions 28 to 507 of the family's 1533-position model. The record is from RNAcentral.
GAUGAACGCUGGCGGCGUGCCUAAUACAUGCGAGUCGAGCGAACGGACGAGAAGCUUGCUUCUCUGAUGUUAGCGGCGGACGGGUGAGUAACACGUGGAUAACCUACCUAUAAGACUGGGAUAACUUCGGGAAACCGGAGCUAAUACCGGAUAAUAUUUUGAACCGCAUGGUUCAAAAGUGAAAGACGGUCUUGCUGUCACUUAUAGAUGGAUCCGCGCUGCAUUAGCUAGUUGGUAAGGUAACGGCUUACCAAGGCAACGAUGCAUAGCCGACCUGAGAGGGUGAUCGGCCACACUGGAACUGAGACACGGUCCAGACUCCUACGGGAGGCGGCAGUAGGGAAUCUUCCGCAAUGGGCGAAAGCCUGACGGAGCAACGCCGCGUGAGUGAUGAAGGUCUUCGGAUCGUAAAACUCUGUUAUUAGGGAAGAACAUAUGUGUAAGUAACUGUGCACAUCUUGACGGUACCUAAUCAGAAAGCCACGGCUAACUACGUG